AUUGAACGCUGGCGGCAGGCCUAACACAUGCAAGUCGAACGGUAACAGGAAGAAGCUUGCUUCUUUGCUGACGAGUGGCGGACGGGUGAGUAAUGUCUGGGAAACUGCCUGAUGGAGGGGGAUAACGACUGGAAACGGUAGCUAAUACCGCAUAACGUCGCAAGACCAAAAAGGGGGACCUUCGGGCCUCUUGCCCUCGGAUGUGCCCAGAUGGGAUUAGCUAGUAGGUGGGGUAACGGCUCACCUAGGCGACGAUCCCUAGCUGGUCUGAGAGGAUGACCAGCCACACUGGAACUGAGACACGGUCCAGACUCCUACGGGAGGCAGCAGUGGGGAAUAUUGCACAAUGGGCGCAAGCCUGAUGCAGCCAUGCCGCGUGUAUGAAGAAGGCCUUCGGGUUGUAAAGUACUUUCAGCGGGGAGGAAGGGAGUAAAGUUAAUACCUUUGCUCAUUGACGUUACCCGCAGAAGAAGCACCGGCUAACUCCGUG
This 490-nucleotide ribosomal RNA is filed under the name uncultured bacterium. Its description in RNAcentral is "partial 16S ribosomal RNA". It matches the Rfam family "Bacterial small subunit ribosomal RNA", at positions 30 to 507 of the family's 1533-position model. The record is from RNAcentral.